This is a long non-coding RNA of Magnolia sinica, 1331 nucleotides long. RefSeq lists it as uncharacterized. The transcript has 3 exons. Lineage: Eukaryota; Viridiplantae; Streptophyta; Magnoliopsida; Magnoliales; Magnoliaceae. The record is from RefSeq and is a predicted model, not a curated record.
CGAAUGAGAAAACACAUUGGGGAUAACUUGCUACGUCCAGCAGUCACCCGUUUCGCUACAGCCUUUUUAACACUACAAAGGCUAGAUGCAAAGAAAUCAGAACUUAGAAGCUUUGUAGUGUCAGCCAAUUUUACAAGUGGGCCUUGGUCAAAGAAGGCUGACGGAAAACGGGUUCAACAAACAAUUCUUUCUCAAAGUUUUUGGACUCAGGUGGUAAAGGCGCUAAAAUCAUCCGAGCCCUUAGUCUCUGUGUUGCGAUUGGUAGACGGGGAUGAGAAGCCUGCAAUGGGCUACAUGUAUGAUGCGAUGAAAAGGGCAAAAAAUAAGAUCAUGGACCAUUUUAACUAUAGAGACCAUGAUUAUAGGCCAAUUUUAGAUAUUAUAGAUAAAAGAUGGGGCAGCCAAAUGUCAUCCUCAUUGUAUUCGGCUGCUUACAUCCUUAACCCAGCCUAUUUAUUCGCUUCUGCUGAUCCAGCAGAAGCACUAACUAUGCAUAUGGUUGGAUUUAUUGAUGUCUUGGAAAGAAUGAUUCCAGAUAGAGGAGAACAGGACAAGAUCUUAACUUUCCUGGACUUCUGCACAAAAAGUAAAGGAAUAUUCUCAAGGGAUAUUGUAAUAAGACAUCGAACAAUGAAAUUACCUACUGACUAGUAAGCUGCCUAUGGAGUGGACCCGAACAGGAAGGAUCAAGCUCUAAAGAAGCUGGCUAUGAAGAUUCUUAGACUCACGUGUUCUGCCAGUGGUUGCGAGCGCAAUUGGAGCACGUUCGAGUUGAUUCAUACCAAGAAAAGGAAUCGCCUUGAGUAAAAAAAGCUCAACGACUUGGUUUUCGUUCAAUACAAUCAAAAAUUGUGAGAACGAUUUCAAAGUAGGAAAGAAAAGCCCAGCUUCUUUGACCCUAUCUGCUUAGAUGAGUUGGAUGCAGAUAACGAGUGGCUCGUAGAGACGGAGGACUCGGUAUUUGCUGGAGAGGAUCUGACAUGGGCAUAAGUUGAAGAUGCCGCAUAUGGAUUGACACCUGGUGAAGGUAGUAGUACCACUCGAAGGCGAAGGACGGGGGAAAGCCGGGGGGCGAGUAGUAGUCGUCAACCCGUUGAUGAGAUUGAGGAGAUUGAAGAAGGAGAAGGUGAUAAUGAUGAUCAAAUUGAAGAUCAUCCACCAUUGGAUGUUGAUGAAGUAUUAGUACGUACAGAUGACGAAGAAACGGAAGAAGAAGAAGUGUAUGUAGAAGAAGGAGAUGACUCGAAUGAUGAUGAUGAUGAUGGUGGUGGUGGUGGUGGACUUGGUGGUGAUGUGCCACAAUGGAUGCUAGAUCAAUGUAUAUCAUGAUU